This 693-nucleotide small RNA is filed under the name Pongo abelii (Sumatran orangutan). Its description in RNAcentral is "retained intron". The record is from RNAcentral. Lineage: Eukaryota; Metazoa; Chordata; Mammalia; Primates; Hominidae.
CGGCCCACAAGCUGCUUAAGGAGAUGGUGCUGCUGGAGCGGCUGCGGCACCCCAACGUGCUGCAGCUCUAUGGCUACUGCUACCAGGACAGCGAGGACAUCCCAGACACCCUGACCACCAUCACGGAGCUGGGCGCCCCUGUAGAAAUGAUCCAGCUGCUGCAAACUUCCUGGGAAGAUCGAUUCCGAAUCUGCCUGAGCCUGGGCCGCCUCCUCCACCACCUGGCCCACUCCCCACUGGGCUCCGUCACUCUGCUGGACUUCCGCCCUCGGCAGUUUGUGCUGGUGGAUGGGGAGCUCAAAGUAACGGACCUGGAUGACGCACGUGUGGAGGAGACGCCGUGUGCAGGCAGCACCGACUGCAUACUCGAGUUUCCGGCCAGGAACUUCACCCUGCCCUGCUCAGCCCAGGGCUGGUGCGAGGGCAUGAACGAGAAGCGGAAUCUCUAUAAUGCCUACAGGUGACCUCCACCCCCGACUCAGGAACUCCAUCGAAGGAGAAUGGGCCAGGAGGGCAUGGCAGGAAGAGAGCCAACGUGGAGGCCAGCUGGGCAGGGAGACUCAGCCUUGACCAGAGCAAGGGAAGGCUUCUACCCUGUCCAGAAGGGAACAUUCAGGCUUCUGAUGGAGAGGCUAAAAAUAGACAGCUCCAAGGAGAAUCCGUGUUAGGGGGUGGCAGCUGGAGGCUUCUUAA